Molecule: transfer RNA, 55 nt
Filed under: Streptococcus parasanguinis
Lineage: Bacteria; Bacillati; Bacillota; Bacilli; Lactobacillales; Streptococcaceae
Also listed under: 1 other name
Description: tRNA-Ser
Rfam family: tRNA
About the family: Transfer RNA (tRNA) molecules are approximately 80 nucleotides in length.
Source: RNAcentral
GGAGAGCAUCUGCCUUACAAGCAGAGGGUCAGCGGUUCGAUCCCGUUAACUCCCA